Molecule: long non-coding RNA, 7454 nt
Organism: Meriones unguiculatus (Mongolian gerbil)
Lineage: Eukaryota; Metazoa; Chordata; Mammalia; Rodentia; Muridae
Exons: 3
Source: RefSeq, a predicted model, not a curated record
GGGCGGCUAGGCAGCGGUGGAAGCGAGGAGGAGGAGGAGGAGGACCCGGGAGUCUCGCCGGCACGGGAGGGUGCCCAGGGCGAGGACGUGCGAGGGGGAGUGACUCUGCGCGAAGCAACUCCACUCCUUGGUCACCUAGAGAGGUGCAGCCGGUCGCCGCGCAAGCUUUCAGGCUGACCCUGAACUGUCAGCUGUGCCAAAGCUGGAGAGGUCCCAGGGGAGACAAACUGCCUUUACCUCUACGUAAGAGCCACUGCCCUACAGGAGGGAGAUGGCACGGCCAGAAGAAUAGGCUCAGGCCCUGGGUCCUUCCCAGAAGCCCAACGACCCCUCUUGGUUAGUGCUUGAACCCAGCGUGAAGAGUGGGAGACUGGCAAAUGCCCAUGGGGCGUAGUGUGGCCCGGAGUCCCAGGAUCACCGCGGCAGCACGUGAAGAGCGAAGUCCUGGCCGCUGAGCCAAACCGUGGCCGGCUUUCCCUGAGUCUCCGGCCUGGAUGCUGGGAAUCCCGGGCCCAGAGAGCGCGAAGCAGGCAGCUUCCUGCCUCUGCAGUGACUGGAACACUUUGGUUUGAGAAAUCGCAGUUCUGAGUGUGGAGAGAGGUGUGUGUUGAGACACAGUUGGAGAGAAAGCGAAAUGUGCGGCGAGGGUGAGGGCGAACUUGGUAGGGCAUGUCUUUAAUUGUGGACCUUCCUGAGUCCAGAACCGUGUUUCUGGCUUGAGGCAAACAGAGCCUGCUAGGGUUAGUUAUUGAGGUCUCAGCCACUCUGGGCCUCUGGUAGCCCGGAGCUCCUUUUUCGUAGGCUCACUUAGGCUAACCAAGGCUCCCUUAAGUGUGUCAGUCUGAAAGGUGCACUGUCGGCCCUUCGAGAAGUGGGCGUGGAUCUAUUAGCAUUUGCCAAAAGUCCUGGAACCCUGCGGGAUUUGCAUGCUCAUUUGCAUACGGUAAUAAUCAUUAGCAACACUGCCACUCCCUGGCCAACCCUGGAAGGAUUCAGGGAAGGUGCUGGCAGGGAUUCUCCCUCCCUCUCUUAGGGGAAGUUGUUGUUCGCGCUGGGUUUGAUCUAUGUCUUUUUUAUGUUUAUCUUUUUUAGCUGUAACCUCUGCUGCUGUGACUCCCGGGAGGGGGCACCCUGUCCCUGAGUGGCCUGGCCCCAAUAGGAACACCUUCCUUAGGUCUUCCACCUCCUUCCCAACUUGGGGCAGUGGAAACAUGGCAUUUUAUCUCUGCCUCGGUUUGGAUUUCCUGUGCAUUCUUGCCACCGUUCUGCAGCGUAAAGAUAGUUUAGGGAUCGAGUCUCCCACACUGUCAGGGAAGGAGUGGUUCCCUGGGAACAUCGGUAGACUCCUGGACUGGUCUACUAAUGGGACAACUUGUGACAUCCGGGUCUUUGUAAGCCAGGACACUCAUUCAGACACCCUGCCCCACCUUCUCCAGUCCGGUUCCUCAGAUGCUCCUACCUGAUAGCCCAAGUGCAGUGUCUGUGAACUGCUCUCUCUCUCUCUCUCUCUCUCUCUCUCUCCAGUAUCUGGAGAAAAAUAAGGGAGACUUGGAUUUCUAGUUCAGGCCAGUGUGGGUUUUGUUUACAGUUCUCGCUGAGGCCAGAUGAGGAGGAAAAUGGAACAAAAGAGAGGAGAAAGGAGGUACCUGGAAGAGACACUGUCCAGGAGACACUGGGUACCCAACCCUCCAUCUCUUCCUGGAAUCUCCCCAGCCAUGACUGUUGGCUCCUUCCUCCCUCUGCCUCUGGCCCAGCCUGGCCGGGAUUUUUCACUUGGUUUUCCCCCAUGACGCGGCCGCUUUUCCUUUAACUCCCGGCUUCUAUUUAAAAAGCUAAUUUGGGAGCUUGUCGAUGCUCCCAAUUCAGACAUUUUAAAUAGGAACUGAAAGUCAGGAGCUGCCAGGGCACUAGGUUUCCUCCUCUCGCCACUGGCCCUGCUGAAGUGUCGGUUCAGUUUCCCGGGCCUCAUGGUGUGUGUGUGUGUGUGUGUGUGUGUGUGUGUGUGUGUUCCUCCAGCUUGGGGAGUAUUCUUUUCUAUUUAAAGACAGUACUGCUAUGAAGACUCUGCAUAUGUGUGUCCAUGUGUGCCUGUGUCCUCUCCAGACUGUGCACACAUUAGGAUUCUUCCUUGGUCCCAAGGCUCUGGCCGAUAUUUGCGGAGCUUGUCACCAUGUGGACUGUGAGGGGAAGAUACAGCAUACUUAGAGUCAGCUCCCUCUUUGCUGACACGCCAGGCUACUGUUGCCUGUGCUGUUCUUUCCCAGCACUGGUGUUCUCAGGCUUGCUCUUUGACCCUUGCCUGGGCUUCCUGAAGGGUCGCUCACUCACACCCUCGCUUCUUGUGGCUGCCCUACUUCGGUUGUUUGUCCCAUGCUGGGCAAGCAUUUUGGAGCUGGGACUCUUCUGAGGGUUGCAAGUUUUCUACGUUCAGAAUGCCAUGUACCUUGAAGGGGAGGGGGGAAGGGGAGAGCCUUUGAAGUCAGAGUGAUUAGGUCUGAACCCGCCUCUGCUAUUCCUAGCCUAGGAUCAUAGGGAGCCUCCUUAACCUCUCUGUGCUUUGGAAUUUUUUUUGUUUUUUCCCCUCAUCUCUAAAAUGUCCAAUGAUAGAAAUGUGGCACUUUAGUAGCUAUCGUAGAUAACAUACUUAAAAACAAUGCCAGGAAUUUGGAAAGUUGGUUAUUGUUCAAGAUAGGAAGUACAGAGCACUCUGUCUAGGGAAGAAGUUGGAACAGCCAGAUUGUGUUUGGGUGUCCAUACCAUGCGUUAAAUCAACAUGCACAUGACAAUACAAACGCCAGGCCAUGGCCCGCCAUGUCAGGUUUAUCUCAUUGGGCUAUCUGAGUCCCUAAGCUCCAGAAAACAAUAAAGGAACAGGCGCAGAGUUGUAGGGACAGGGAUGAGGAGGGGUCUUAGCAAGCCAGAUACCCAUAGGGAAUGUUCUAGAGGCCAGAUUUAUGCAGGAGGAGUAGGUUCCAAGAUCUGUUUGUCCGCAGGCUCCCACCUCCCUACCCUACCCAAGCACAUACAGCCAGGCUCCAGGAAAUAAAGCUACAGAGAGAGGAGUGGCCAGCAAGGGUAGCCCAUAGUUCUUGGUGCCCCCCCCCUUAUAUUGCCUGUUUGGUCCCAUCCCUGUCCCUGCCUCUCACCCCUCCUUACCACUGGGGAGAGGAACUGAUAAAUUUGCUAUCAGAGUCCAUUUCUCUCAGUUGAGCAGAAUGUCAGCAUAUGAGGAGGAACACAGAAGGCCAUAAGCAGGAAGAAGAGCUGUAAGCAACUGAAGACAUAUGCUCUCUGUGGGCUCCAGUGCAACCUUGCAAAUCUGGAGGUAUAUGUGGUGUCUUGGCUACUUUUCUAUUGCUGUGAUAAAACAUGAUGAUCAAGGCAAUUUAUAAAAGAAGGCAUUGAAUUUGCAGCUCAUGGUUUGAGAUGGUUAGUGUCCAUGUGCAUCGUGACGAGGAGCAUGAGAUCAGAAAGGUAGGCAUGGUGCUGGAGCAGUAGCUGAGAGUUUACAUCUUGAUCUACAAGCACAAGGCAGAGAGAGGGAGGAGAGAGAGACAGAGAAAGAGACAGAAAAACAGGAGCAUGUGAGAGGGAGCUAAUUGGGAAUGGGGUGGGCUCUUGAAACCUCAAAGCCUACCCCCACCAGUGACACACCUCCUGCAAUAGGAGGUUUUAAUCCUUUUUCAACAGUUUCACCAACUGGGGGACCAAGUAUUCAAACAUGUGUGCCUAUUGGGGGGGUGUUUUCAUUCAAACCACCCAUCUAGCUUUGUAUGUCAACUCUGAGCUGGGGAACAGCCCUAAGCUGGCUGCUGCCUAUGUCUUCCAUGCCCUCAUGGUAGACAUGACCACUCACAGAUGCACACAGGGAGGCAGUCCACAGAGGGGAACCUCUGUAGCAUUCACCGUGUUUUUCUGAGAACCUGCAGCUCCACCUUCUAGGCUAGGACAGCUGGUCAACAAGCCCCGGGGAUCCCCCUGUCCCUACCUUCCCAGAGAUGGCAUGGUAAGCACGCACUACCUCACCUGGCUAUUUCUGUGGGCGUCAGAAAUCAAGCUCGGGCCCUGAUGCUUGUGGGGCAAGCACUUUAGCGGUGGAGCUGGUCUCAGUUCCCGGUGCCCCUCCUGCAGGUACGCUGUAUCCAAAAUGGUUUCUUGCUCUUCCUCGAUUCUUGCUUUUCUCUGUCUGUCUUUUCCCAGGGAGAAUUUGUACAGACUUGGGGUUUUAAGUUUAUCCUCAUGCUGAAGAUGUUUUCCUGAGCUCUCCCCGGCUCCUUGCUAUCAGCUUUCUCCAUUCUUGACCACCCUCACCUCUUUGCUAUAUCUCACUACCCUCUCCUGUUGGACUGUCUCAAUCAUGCCAUCUCUCUUCCAGAGCUACCUGACCUACUUACACUCUUCUGGGGAAGUUGCUAAAGAACACCCUCUUCUCAGCAGCCUUCCACUCAUCCUCAAACCUUAAAUACCCAGCACAAAGUUCACAUACUAAGUUUUGGUAAAAUCCUUCCUGUAUCCCAGAUGAACUAAGAAUUCCCCCUUUGGGUUCUUCAUGUGUAUCCCAAGCGUGGUUCCUUCUGUCUGUGUGGGCUUAGUUGUCUGCACAGGGUGUCUCUUGCUAGCCUUUAUGCAUGUAAGGCAAAGACUACGUCUCUGCCAACUCUGAUUCCUGACAGAGUGUGUGGCAGACACGUGAGAGAUGCUCAGUGCAUCCGGAGUAUGAUUUAUUCUAACAGUCACUCCUGUAGUUCCCUUGAUUAUGAGUGAUAAGACAUGUGACGAAUUUGCCAUCUGGUCUGUCUCCAAGACCCUUUUUGAUGGAUCUCAAGCAUGGACAUGAGGACGUAAUGGGGGUGGGCAGAGGAAAGGAAAAGGUUAUUCAAUAUGGGCUGAUCCUAGAUGAAAAGAGCCCCAUAGUACUCCUUUUCAAAGAAAGGCUAUAACGUUGGAUUCAGCUGGUCCUGCCCAUGCAGACUGGGCCAGUGUUCAACCAGACUGGCUAGCAGGGUUUGCAUUCUUUUCUUUCUACCCUGGUGAGAUGUGAAUCACAUCCACUGAACAUCACCUCUUUGGGAACAGCCAGGACACAGCCAAAUUGCAAUGUCCCUGUUUCUUUGCAGCUGUGACCAUAAAGACAAACAUGGCUUACAGACACCAAGACCAAAGGCUGCUGGGUUUGAAGUAUAACCUUAUAUGAGAACCAUAUCAAUAAAUCCAGGACAGUGGAGGCUUAGUGGGGAGAGCACAGUCCUUGGAUAGACCUGGCUUCAAAGUUUGACUCUGUCAUUUACUGCCUGUACGACUUUAGGAAAACCAUUUCAUUUCUCUGAUGCUUAUUUCCCUCGCCUGCCUGAGUUCUAAUGAUGGUAUUGUAACAUAGGACUGAUAAGGAUGGUGUUAGACUAUGUGGAAACAGCCUCACAUGCAAUUAUUGAUGAAUCUAUUAGCUGUUGUAAUAUUGUAGCUAAGUCUAGAGGUGUCUGAAACCAGCUCUUUAAACUAUUCAGCACAGUUCCUCAAACGAUGUUCGUGAACUUUAGGCAGGUCACCCAAGCUCUUUGAUAUGAGUGAGCACCUGACCCUCAGAAUGCAUGUGUGAGAUCAGAGUCUAUGCCUUAGACAUUCCUUCCAUUGCCUUCUCUUUCUGUUCUGUGGUACUCUAUUUCUGCAUUUUAAGGUCUUUUUUCCUUUUUAAAAAUAUUUGUUUCAAUUAGCUAUUUAUAAUUUCUAUACUAAUUAUCCAUCAUAUAUUAUUUCAUUAUAUAUAAUAUUUUAUGUUAAUUAUAUAUUAUUUAAUAUAUUUAUAUAGUGCAUUGUGUAUUAAUUAUAUAUUAUAUAUAAUUAUAUAAAUUAUAUAUUAUAUAUAAAUUACAUAUUUUUAUAAAUUUAAAUUUAUAUAUUAAAGUAUAUAAAUUAUUAUACGAUAAAUAUAAUUAUCUGUUAUUAUAUAUUAUUAGUUUGUGUGUGUGAGUACACUCAAGGUUGAUGACAGCCUGAGGGAGUUGUUUUUCUGCUUCCAUUAUGGGAGACUGGAGGCUUAAACUCAGGGCACCAGGCUUGAUGACAAGAACCCUGCUGAACCAUCCCACUAGCCAUCUUUCCUUUUCUUUUCUCUUUUUUGUGUGUAUGUAUAUUUGUGCACAUGUGUGUGGGUGUGUAUACCUGCCAUGUAGCGGCCCCAGACAGAUGUUCAGUGUUCUGCACUAUUGCUGUCUGUCUAUCCCCCUGAGAUGGGGUCUCUUACUAAACCUGGAGCUAGGCUGGUAGCCAGCAAGUGCCAACGAUCCUCCUGUCUUCACCUCCACUACUUUAGGGUUACUGGCUGGCAUAGGCACAUCCAGCUUUCUGUGUGCACUCUGGGGUCUGAAUUCAGGUCCUUAUGAUUGCACAACUGUUCCAUCUCUCCAGCCUUCCCUCCUUGCCAGUCAGAACUGUUUAAUCAUUUAGACCAAGAUACAAGUGAUUUCAUUGUCCAAAGACAUAGCAUUCACAUGUAAAUUGAACAGAGUACUAACCAAGACUUUUAAGUAGAAUGAAUGAGAUUUCUAGCAUUCACCAAAGUAAUGGAAGAAAACUUGAGGGAACCAAGAGGUGCUACUUAACUCCACAGACUUCUGUCCACUGAACCGAAUGAUGCCAGUGCAAACAGUGAAGUAGACUGUUUCUGAAUUCCAAAGCUGAACAACCAAGUAAGUCUCCAGCUUUUGUGAAAAUCAUAAUAAAGGGAUUUAUGCACCAAUUCUACACACCUACUUCCUUUGGCAAGCAAACAGACACAGUUCAUGAGACUCCAACUCCGCACAUCUGUGAUGCUUACAACCAAUUGCCUUUGCUCUCCAGAGCUCAAAGUCUGGGUUGACUGCCUCCUUGUGUUUCUGAAAGACUUGGCUACAAAAUCAUUAAUUGCUUUAGAGAACGGACAAUUACACAAAGACAAGCCAGCUCCUAUGCCCAUAUUGCAAGGUCUUAAGAGGCUUCAGGCUCUCUACAAGACCCUUAAUAACAUGGGUUUUCAAAGCUCUUCAAAAAGUCUUUACAGAUGAGAAAAUUAUAUGUCCCAUGACCCCUCAAUUAGCACUGAACAUUAGCAAUUCAUGACCAAUCAAGCAGCAUCUAUAUUCUAAGGCCUCUACUCCACAUCUUUGAGUCACAUUCCAGGUGUCAUAUAAUGUCAUCACUAAGUAGUUCAGCAGCCUCACUCUUAGUAACAAAAGCCAUCUCUCCAGGGGAGACAUCCUUCUUGCCUCCUUCUGUGACACAGAAUGUGUGCCCGAUGUGGAUUUGAGAAGCUCAGGAAUUUCCAGCAUUCUGCCCAAAGUCUGUUCUGUCCUUUGCAUGGAAAGGGGCACACACACAAUAUGCCUGGCAAUGAUGCCUCCACGUGUAAGCUCCUUGGCAUCCGUAGGUCUGCUUCACAGUAGCUGUGAUGAGGCCCAAGCUGAAAGGCUGAAGUCAGU